GAGCUUUAUGAGAAGGGCAUUUGGUGGAUGCUUGGCACUGAGAGGCGAUGAAGGACGUGGCACGCUGCGAUAAGUCCAGGUUAGGGGCGAGCACCCGUUGACCCUGGAAUUUCCGAAUGGGGAAACCCACGGCUUCGGCCGUAUCCUUAAGUGAAUCCAUAGCUUAAGGAGGCGAACCCGGCGAACUGAAACAUCUAAGUAGCCGGAGGAAAGGACAUCAACCGAGACUCCGCUAGUAGUGGCGAGCGAACGCGGACCAGGCCAGUGGCUUGGGUAGGAAAACCGGAACCGUCUGGAAAGUUGGGCCGUAGUGGGUGAUAGCCCCGUACGGGUAAAGUUCCAUAUAAGUCCUUGAGUAGGGCGGGGCACGUGAAACCCUGUCUGAACGUGGGGGGACCACCCUCCAAGCCUAAGUACUCCUCGACGACCGAUAGUGAACAAGUACCGUGAGGGAAAGGUGAAAAGCACCCCGAUGAGGG
RNAcentral lists this ribosomal RNA (479 nucleotides) under Gemmatimonadota bacterium. RNAcentral describes it as "partial 23S ribosomal RNA". It matches the Rfam family "Bacterial large subunit ribosomal RNA", at positions 1 to 535 of the family's 2925-position model. Lineage: Bacteria; Pseudomonadati; Gemmatimonadota. The record is from RNAcentral.